CCUACGGGUGGCAGCAGUGAGGAAUAUUGGUCAAUGGGCGCUAGCCUGAACCAGCCAAGUAGCGUGAAGGAUGACUGUCCUAUGGGUUGUAAACUUCUUUUAUCUGGGAAUAAAGCGCAGCACGUAUACUCCUUUGCAUGUACCUUAUGAAUUAGGAUCGGAUAACUCCGUGCCAGCAGCCGCGGUUAUUCGGAGGGUCCGAGCGUUUUCCGGAUUUAUUGGGUUUAAAGGGAUCGUAGGGGGGUUGUUAAGUCAGUUGUGAAAGUUUGCGGCGCAACCGUAAAAUGGCAGUUGAUACUGGCAACCUUGAGUACGGUAGAGGUAGGCGGAAUUCGUGGUGUAGCGGUGAAAUGCUUAGAUAUCACGAAGAACUCCGAUUGCGAAGGCAGCCUGCUGGACUGUAACUGACGCUCAGGCACGAAAGUGUGGGGAUCGAACAGGAUUAGAUACCCGUGUAGUC
This 460-nucleotide ribosomal RNA is filed under the name uncultured bacterium. Its description in RNAcentral is "partial 16S ribosomal RNA". It matches the Rfam family "Bacterial small subunit ribosomal RNA", at positions 338 to 795 of the family's 1533-position model. The record is from RNAcentral.